Pelobates cultripes (western spadefoot toad) is the source of this 1564-nucleotide non-coding RNA. Lineage: Eukaryota; Metazoa; Chordata; Amphibia; Anura; Pelobatidae. The record is from the annotation of a GenBank genome assembly.
AUGCAGGGUCUAGCAGGCUAUUAACAUGGCAGAUUAUAAAUUCUAAAUUAAACAUAAUUUGCAAUAAAGGAAGUGUAAACAUUAGAUCUUUCUUUACAGGAAGUGUUUAUUAAGGCAGUGUAAGUCACAUGCAAGUAGGUGGCCUUAGGGCUGCAUAAACAAACUGAUGUAACUCCUAAAUGGCAGAGAAUUGAGCAGCGAGACUGCAGAGACAUGAUCUAUACACCAAAACUGCUUCAUUAAGCUAUAGUUGAUUUGGUAACUAUAGUAUCCCUUUAACUUGAACCAUUUGCUUGUUUUAGGUUGUAAUGUAAAAUGUGUCCCAAUAAACAGCUUCACAGAGCCCUGUCAUUUUCAAUAAAAUUUAAUAGCAAAACAAUAUUUUGCAAUGAGAAAAUAAAUACAUGUAAUCCUCCAAUGUGUUCAUUGAAGAUACAGUAAUGUGGAAACACAAAAAUUGAAGGCUGAUAGAGAGAGCAGAGUGUAAAAUGCAGAAAGGUACUCUAGAGGUCUGAAGAAAAAGACUGGACAGAAAGAUAACCUGCUGAUCACCUUAUGAUAUAGCCAGGUGUUCUCAAAAGAAAAUAAUUCAACUGCAUCUCGAAGCAUAAUGGAAACUAAAAACUGCUGACAUACUUUAUUAACGACUAGAUGGGAGAACAGAGGUUCGGAGAUAAAAUCUAAAUUGUACACAGUUCUGCAGCAGCAAGCAAUACUAAUUCAAAAAUGUCCAGAAAAUCGCUUAGUCAUAAAAGAACAACACUAUAGUUUAUGAAACUUGGAGGAAAAAAAAAAAAAACGAAUUGAAAGGACAUUGCAGGCGACACAUCCCCCAUUUCAUCGAAUGUUACUGGCUAUACAUUAAAAAAAACAAAACAAAAAAAUGGGGAAAAAUAAAAUAUACUAGUAAAAAAAAAAAACAAUACCUCCAAUAUGUGGUCUUUUAAACAAAGAUUUGGAGGCAGCACUGAGAAGGCAUAUUGUUUGCUAAUAUUAUGAAUGGCUGCACAAGUGACAUGUCUGACAUCACGUCCAUGUUCCCAUAGCUUUUAUGAUGUCAUUUGCUUGCAUACCAUUCUUUUCAGUCAAAAAGGGUAUUAAAGGACAACUGUCACAGCUUUAUUUAUUUUUUUUUAAAAAGAAUGCUUGCUGCAUGUAAUGAAGAGAUUUUUUUUAAAACAUGAAGCUUAUGUAAAAAUACCUGAAAAUCUGGCCUCUACUAUUACAGAACACUAGAUCCCUCUGCCAUCCCUCUGAGGUACAAUCCGACCUUUAGGUUCCUCCUCCUGCACAAAGCCAUCGCGCUGUGUGGUUGGCCUGGUUCAAAUUCUGACCGAAUUCCAAAUGCACUGGCAAUUCUCAUCUUUAUUAAAGCCAAAUAGUUAGAAUUCGGUCGAUAUGACUGAUUCUGUAACAUUGGUUCGGAUGAGAAAAAUCACAUUUUUUCCGAACUCAUCCAAACCAGUCUACAGCACCGGAAUCGCAAAUGACCAUUCACAUGCAAUUUUCAAGUGAAGCAGGAGCCUAACAGUCGGAUUCUAUCCCAGUCCGACCGAAGGUGAUU